Molecule: ribosomal RNA, 95 nt
Filed under: Kryptoperidinium foliaceum endosymbiont
Lineage: Eukaryota; Bacillariophyta; Bacillariophyceae
Source: RNAcentral
UAUAUUCUUCCCCAACAGUAGUAUUUGGAAAAACUUUUAGACCAAACUCUUGAAAGUAAAUUUCAGGUUAAAUGAAAAGAGGAAUCGAACCUCAU